AAGAAGGGAGGCAGAAGGGAGGAAGAAUAGUCAAUGAAAAAGACACUGAACCAGCCAAGUAGCGUGAAGGAUGACUGCCCUACGGGUUGUAAACUUCUUUUAUAAAGGAAUAAAGUGAGGCACGUGUGCCUUUUUGUAUGUACUUUAUGAAUAAGGAUCGGCUAACUCCGUGCCAGCAGCCGCGGUAAUACGGAGGAUCCGAGCGUUAUCCGGAUUUAUUGGGUUUAAAGGGAGCGUAGAUGGGUUGUUAAGUCAGUUGUGAAAGUUUGCGGCUCAACCGUAAAAUUGCAAUUGAUACUGGCAGUCUUGAGUACAGUUGAGGUAGGCGGAAUUCGUGGUGUAGCGGUGAAAUGCUUAGAUAUCACGAAGAACUCCGAUUGCGAAGGCAGCUUACUAAACUGCCACUGACAUUGAUGCUCGAAAGUGUGGGUAUCAAACAGGAUUAGAUACCCCGGUAGUA
Molecule: ribosomal RNA, 460 nt
Filed under: uncultured bacterium
Lineage: Bacteria
Description: partial 16S ribosomal RNA
Rfam family: Bacterial small subunit ribosomal RNA
Source: RNAcentral